GCACUCAAGGCACACGUGGAGGUUCCCAGCCUAGGGGUCUAAUCAGAGCUGUAGCUGCCAGCCUACGCCACAGCCACAGCAACUUGGGAUCCGAGCUGUGUCUGCAACCUACACCACAGCUCACAGCAAUGCUGGAUCCUUAACCCACUGAGCAAAGCCAGGGAUCGAAUCCACAACUUCAUGUUCCUAGUCGGAUUCAUUAACCACUGAGCCACGACAGGAACUCUGGUCAUAAAUUUUAAAACUCAAAGUCAUACUAGCCACAAGCACUCCCUAUUCUAUCUCCUAUCCAAAAUUCAGUCCAGCCACAUUAUCCAAAAGAGCUCACUGGAGAUUCUUCAGUGAAAUUAAAUGACAACAUUAAGAUAUUCUAAUAAAAUGCCAAUAAUAAAAAUAUUCCAAAUCAUGAAUUUCCCAGGUUGAAAUUACAACUCCAAAAUUAAAUUCCCUAAAUAUUAAAGUCUAAAAUCAAAUUAUCUUUCUUUGUGUUAAAAGCCAAAAGAAAUUAGUCCAAAUUCUAUCCUCCUUAUUUCUUAUUCUUUUGAGUCCUUCUAGAGAAAUAUAUCCCUGUUUGGGGAGGACUGUGAGUCUUUUAGCAGCAGCAGGUAAAUUCUCUUCCACUGGCAUAGGUGUAGUUCUCUUAGGAUCUUAAAAGUCCAACUGUACGCACAUGCACCUCACUUUUGAGGAGACCAAAGAGAACACCAAAGCUUAUCAGUCUCUCAUCCACUUGUUUUAGAAACCCCUUUAAUCUUUGGCAGUUAGCAGAUAUCCCAGACAAAAUCAUAUCCCAGACCCUCUACUUACUAUUGCCAAAAGACCAUCGCAGAGAUUCAGUGAUAUCUGAGAGAGGGCAAAUAGAAUGGGAGAGAUUUUUUGACUGCAGCUUUGCCAUGAUGCUGGCAUUCUAUGUCUUUGUUGGAAGAACAUGACCUUUAUGGCCCCAUUUUCACCAUGUCAUGGGGAAGGGAUGGGAAAGUCAUUUAUGCACACCAUCUCAGCAAUUAGAGGGUAGAAUUUGAGACAUGCCUCCUUUUUAAAAAACUUAAAAACCCUGUCAAGGCAGCAGUUCCAGGCACUACAUCUUAUUUUAUUUCCAAUCUAACAUACUGAAAACAUCCUAAUUUCCAUUUGCCUUUGGAGCCCUGUGUUUCUGGCAUCCCACUGCUGAAGUGAAUGGGGGUUCUGCCCAGUGACUCAGUAUCCACCAUCCUGUGAAGGGGCAUUUUCAGUCCUAUGCCACAGCUUUUAAGUAUAGGGGUGAAACAAUCUAUUUGUUGUUGUUGUUGUUGUUGUUGCUUGGUUGCAAAUCUGCAACCUAAGGCAUUAAAAAGCAAAUGAAGUUACGUUAUAUCGGCAGGGCUAGAUCAGCCACACAGCUUCUGGUCCUACUGUAUACUAUUUUGGAAAAUUAACCGGACUAUAACCAGGGAUAGAGAGGGACAUUACAUAAUGACUAAUGUGGUCACAUCUCCAAGAAUGAAAAAUGGAGAUUCAAAAUCCAUAAAGACUUACAAAACUAAAAGAAAGGAGAAAUCCACAAUUAUUGUUGAAGAUUUGAAUAUGCCUGCCCCAAUGACUGAAAGAAAAUGUUAACAGAAAAUUAGUAAGGCUGAUAAAAAUCAUUAUCAGUCAGAUUGACCUAAUUGAUACUGAUAGACUACUUCACUCCAAAACAGCAGAACAUUCUUUUUUUAAAACAGCAAAACACACAUUUUCAAAGGUAGAAUAUCCAUCAAAACUCUGAGUCAUAAGUCUCUAAAUUUAAAAGGCUCAAAUUCAUACGAGGAUUAAAUUAGCACACAUAAAAUUAAUUAGAAAUAAACAAGAGAAAUAAAUCUAGAAAACUCCAAAUUAAAACAUUUUAAAAAUAACACACGGGUCAAAGACCUAAUGUUUUUGAACUCAAUGAAACUGAAAAUACAACAUAUCAAAAUUUUUGAGCUGUACCUAAAGCAGUGUUUAGAGGGAAAUGUGUAGCAUUAAAUGCUUUAAUACAGAAAAACUACCUCAAAUAAAAAAAUCUAAACUUACACCUUAAGAAACUAGGAAAAAAGAGGGCAAGUUAACCUAAAGCAAAAAGAAGGAAAUGAGAUAACAUUGGAAUUUAGUAAAAUAGGAAGUGGACAUACAGUUGGGAAAAGCAAUGAAAUUAAAAGCUGAUUGUAAUAAGCUGAGUAAUGAUGCCUGAGAACAGCUACUUUACAUGGUAAUAAGAUUUUUACAGGUGUGAUUACUUAAAGAUCAUUGUAAGCCUGAGAGAUUUCCUGGAUUACCUGGAUGGGCCGAAUGGAAUCACAAGCAUCUUUAUUAGAGGGCAGGUGGAUCACAGUUAGAGAUGUGAUAACAGAAGCAAGAAGUUGAAAGAUGCAGGUGGCCUUUAGAAAUUGAAAAAGGCAAGAAAAUGGAUGUUCCCCUCAGAACCUCCAGAAGCAAUGACCCUGCCAGCGCCUUAACUACAGCUCAAAGGGAGUGAUUUUGAACUCCUGACUUCCAGAAACGUAAGUUUGACCUGAACACGGGACGCUGCCGGCAGAAGCCUCAGACCAGCCUUCUUCCUGUCAGAGGACUCCGGGGGACACCUCAGCUACCGGGAGUGGAUGCAGAAGCCCGGCACCCCAGCUCCCCGCACUCCAAUCCAACAUGGCCGCGGGGGCCCGUGUGCAGAGACGCUGGGCUUCGCACUGCAAUAUGGGGCGUGAGCAGCACGCCUGCGCGGCCUCAGGAGACCUCCACCCCCCUCCCUCUCCCCCUCCCCGGGGAGGGGGUGGGGGAGAGUGCUGUCAAGCAGCCCCACCCACGGCCUGUACCUGAGAGCUUAUCCUCAGGGUGUGAAUCUCAGUUAUUAGGUUCAUAGCCAUUAAAAAGGGAUACAGGCUUGUGGUAGAGUGACCACAUGAUCAUUAUAUAAUGUCCCUCUAAUUUUCAAAAUACAACAGGAUGGGACGUUGUGCGGCCUAAUUAGCCUUGCUUAUUGAUAUCUGGCACAUCGUUUUAAAGUGAGACACAUAAAUGGUUUUAAGACAGUUGAAAUUACCUUCUUUUGCUUUUUCAAGUCUUGGAUUGUAGAUUUGCAGCCAAGCAACAACAACAACAGAAGUUGUUUCAUUCCCUAUACCUAAAAGCUGACUCAAGAAAUCAUUUUCUUUUCCCUCUAAUCAAAAACUCGCCUCAGCAUCUUGUGUUUACUGAAGCCUGUGGGUCUCUUGCAUAUUUGUAAGGCUGGCCCUUGCUGCCCUGCCUGUUUAAAAACAGCUACUUGCCUGAGUUGCCAUUAACCGCUAGGUCAAAAUCCCAUUGGACUGUGCUUACUAAAGUCUGAAGCCUUAAGCUGCUAGUCCAACCCCAAUGGUCAAAAGACCAUCACAUAACUGUGAAAACCAGCCAUGCAUCACAACAAUGCCCUAUGAACUCCCAAAGUUUAAAAAAAAAAAAAAGAAAAACAGACCCAUGUUUAUUCAACCUAAGGCCUAAAGCCACUUAAUCAAAGUCUCAUGUUUCUGGGUCCCCAAAUUCAACUGCUUGCCUGCCUCUCAAGCUGCCUGGAUUAUGCUCCAAAUACUGGGGGGAAAGUUUGGAUUCCUUCAAACUGUCAUCCUCCUGGUCCAAUGCCAAUCAUCAUAAUCGAUUACACAAAAGUAGACAGGCCUGUUUUCCCCUCAACCCAGCCCCACACAGGUCUCAGUAUUUUUUUUCUACACCAUUCCCCCCUCUGUAGUCACAAUCCCUUGUUCUGUCUCAUAAAGGAGGAGCUUACUAGUGUUACAAAAUGGUCUCAAGGGUGGGAGAUGUCCCACACGGACAGUUUGGUGGAGGCUUGGCCUCAUCAAGGAUCCCAGUGGGUGUCCCUCU
Molecule: non-coding RNA, 3852 nt
Organism: Sus scrofa (pig)
Lineage: Eukaryota; Metazoa; Chordata; Mammalia; Artiodactyla; Suidae
Source: RefSeq, a predicted model, not a curated record